UACCCUUAACAUUUUCUCUUUCAUUUUUCCAAUAUGCAAAAGGUGAACGCGCUCUGUCUUCUUCGUUCUCUCUGAAAACCCUAGCGCCGCCGUCGAACAUCCUUCUGCCUCUCCCUCCGUCACCUCACCUCCAAUCGAAGAUAGGAGGUCAUUUUUGUGCUCAUCAUCACGUGACCUUUAACUGGAACCAGUUGGAUUUUUGUAUUAGACAAUGUCACUUCCAGCCACCCUCUCACUACCUCCGGCCGCCGCGACUCUAGACGAUGAACGAGAGCCUUUUCUGCUCCGUUCAUAUUUCAGCAAAUAGCAAGAAAAGUUAUGCAACCUGUUUUCACUAGCUAAGCCCUCCACCUCUUGCUUCUGAGGUUAGUGAAAAAUCUUUGUGAUGUUCCCAAAGAGAAAACUAUGUUAAUGGAGAAAAGCUCUAAUGGUUCAAUUGGUUCUCUAGGAGAGAAAGCUGUAGUGUUUUGUUUUCUCAGUGGACGGGAUGCUAGAUUUACUUGAAAAGUGUCUUAAUUCAGUAUAGAAAACUUGAUGGAACAAUGUUUUGGUAAGCUUGAUUUAUUGUCUUUCUCGUCUUUAAUUUUACCUCAUUUAUGAGUCUGUUUUACAUUGUAAUUGGUUAGGUGUAUUGCAAUUCUUAAGCUUUUUUGUAUUGUGUGUGAAGGAGUCAGCAUCACGAAGUUGGAUGCUAUAAUGAAUUAUCACUGACAGGAUAAUGUUGAAUGUUCUGAUACAAGUUGUGUGGUGCAGUGUUCGACGUCACUGAUCCUGAAAUGUUCUAUACUAAGAAGGUAAUGUUGAAUAUUUACCAUUUGACAUACAAAAUUGAAACUUACUAUAUUUAUAUUUAUCUGCUUGCCGCGAUUCAAGUUCUUGUGUUACAAUUGCGACAGAUAGCAACUCGGUGGUAUAGGGCACCUGAAGUUUUGUUUCAUAACAGUCAAUAUUCAACUCCAAUUGAUAUUUGGACCGUGGGCUCAUCAUAUUGGGGAUGGGGGAGAGUCUUGUUUUUGGGGUGACUGUUGAGUGGGUGGAGUCGAGCUUAAAAUGAGUUCAAGCUUUGAUGAAAAUUAAGAACUCUUUGAUGGAUCCUUACCAAAUCUUCAAACUGUAGGUAAAACUUGUAGGUGUUCCGGAAAUGAACUAUACAUCUGAUGAUCAGCCGAACCCCCGUGGUGAAAUUUGUAUUAGGGGUCCCAUUAUUUUUCAAGGAUAUUACAAAGAUGAAGUUCAAACGUAACCACUUCGCUUGUUCUAUGGUUCUUGUUAAUUUGAGUUACCAUGGCGUAUUUACAGUGUUCCUGAUUUUUGUUUAUUUGAAAAACUAACUAAAUUGUUGAAGAUGUAUGGUGAUCGGGUGGAAAGUGGAGCGAGGAGGAGGUCUGUCAAGGAACGUCAUGAUGGGAGCAUCAGUGUAUCUACUUGGCAGCAACGCCAAGUCACCGGCAAGAGGAACAAGAAUGAAGAGGAUGAUUCCAUUAUGAUGAUGAAGGCUGCCCAAUUCUCAUCUCAUUAAACUUGAAUUCUAUAUACUCACUUAAUGGAGUCUAGUGAUCUUGUUUUAGGGAUGCAUGGAAUUGGUGUUGAGAUUGGUUACUUUGUUUUAAAGUCACUCUUUUUUACUAUCUAAUGUCCUGAUGUUUAUAAUUUUGUAGAAUUUUUAUAGUAACUUGUUCUAUGAAUUUGUCUUAUAUAAAUUCAAAAAUUUUAAAUUAAAAUUAUCUUUUUAU
Vicia villosa (hairy vetch) is the source of this 1733-nucleotide long non-coding RNA. RefSeq lists it as uncharacterized. The record is from RefSeq and is a predicted model, not a curated record. The transcript has 5 exons. Lineage: Eukaryota; Viridiplantae; Streptophyta; Magnoliopsida; Fabales; Fabaceae.